Molecule: unclassified non-coding RNA, 436 nt
Filed under: Bombus terrestris (buff-tailed bumblebee)
Lineage: Eukaryota; Metazoa; Arthropoda; Insecta; Hymenoptera; Apidae
Description: misc RNA ENSBTSG00005032220.1
Source: RNAcentral
GGCAUUUUCGUACAUUUUCGUAAGAAGUGAAGUGCUGGUCAGAAAGUGCGUGCCCCAUCGAUGCAAAUAAAUAGUAAUUGGACGGAGCCAAGUCUGGUGAGUAAGCCGCGUGCGAAAUUAUUUCCCAACUGAACGCUUCGAUCGUUUCCUUGACCAGUUUUGCUGUAUGUGAUGGUGCAUUAUCAUGAAGCAAAAUUACUUUGUGUUGCCUUUUUUGAUAUUCUGGUCGUUUUUCACGCAAAGCUCGAUUCAAAUCGAUCAUUUGUUUUCGGUAGCGCUCAGUAUUAACGGUUUCGCCAGGUUUUAACAGCUCAUAAUAGAUCACACCCUUCUGAUCCACGUUCUUCGUUCCUCAUCUCAAAAUUGCCACUUCUGAAUUUUUUAAACCACUCAAAGCACUGUGAUUUACCAAGAGCAUGCUCACCGUAAGCUUCGA